UCCACGCAGUAAACGAUGAAUGUUAGUCGUUGGGUAGCUAGUCUAUUCAGUGAUGCAGUUAACACAUUAAACAUUCCGCCUGGGGAGUACGGUCGCAAGAUUAAAACUCAAAGGAAUAGACGGGGACCCGCACAAGUGGUGGAGCAUGUGGUUUAAUUCGAAGAUACGCGAAGAACCUUACCUAGCCUUGACAUAUUUUAGAACUCCGUAGAGAUACAGAGGUGCCUUCGGGA
Molecule: ribosomal RNA, 233 nt
Filed under: uncultured bacterium
Lineage: Bacteria
Description: partial 16S ribosomal RNA
Rfam family: Bacterial small subunit ribosomal RNA
Source: RNAcentral